UUCUUCCCUUGGGCCUGCACGCGAGCUAGGUCUGCAUUUUAAAAAUAAUUUAUUUGUAUAAAUUAAGCAUACACGGAAAAGUAUUGAUUAUGUUAUUUUAAUAGUAUUUUUUUGUUUCAGGUUAUACCAACGUCUACUCCUGAGCGCCAAAAAUGGAGCUUAAGAAUGCAGGUUUUAGCUUUGUUGGGUCUGGGUGAAAUUACACAUGAACCUUGCGAAGCUUUUCAAGUUAAAACUCAAGAAAUGUUAAAGUAGAUGAAUAUUAGAAAACUGUAGUUUAUAAUAUGUAGAGAAUAUUAUUUUAAUAUUUAUGAAAAGUGUCAUCCUCGAGAUAACGGCGUCCGGG
Molecule: non-coding RNA, 346 nt
Organism: Paramuricea clavata
Lineage: Eukaryota; Metazoa; Cnidaria; Anthozoa; Malacalcyonacea; Plexauridae
Source: the annotation of a GenBank genome assembly